AUUUAGCAAGCUGAGUGGGGAGGAGAGAGGGACAGAGAGCCUGCAUGCUUCAAAGGAGCCAACCGGACAGGAGCCGCUUACACUCGUGUAAGCGGCUCCUCUCCUCUCCCGCUUUGCUCCUUUAAAGCAAGCAGGCUCUCUGUCUCUCUCUCCUCCCCACUCAGCGGCUCUUCUC
Molecule: microRNA precursor, 175 nt
Filed under: Podarcis lilfordi (Lilford's wall lizard)
Lineage: Eukaryota; Metazoa; Chordata; Lepidosauria; Squamata; Lacertidae
Source: RNAcentral